AGUGGACUAUAAACGGUUAAUUAAAAUACAUCUCCAACAACAUCAAAAAAAUUAAAAACUAAACAUUCUAAUACUUGAUUCCUAAGGGUAAUUAAACAUGAUGGACCAUAUCAGUCUAUUAUUCUAGUUGUUCUUAUCUGUGAAUGGCAUCAUCAUCUUUGCCUGCACGUCACUGGCAAACCCUACAUGAAACUGUUGUUGUACUUACGAGUUCAUCCUGUCAAUGGACCACUCUUGCAGUUGUUGUAGCUCCUACACAAGAGAAUCCUCCUUGAUUUGAGCAGAUGUCUCCUAAGGACCCUUCAUGACUCCCCCGUUAGGUGGUCUCUUGAGGCUAAAGUGACUUGCUAAGUGUUUCUGUCCUCUUCU
Molecule: long non-coding RNA, 369 nt
Filed under: Carica papaya (papaya)
Lineage: Eukaryota; Viridiplantae; Streptophyta; Magnoliopsida; Brassicales; Caricaceae
Description: long non-coding RNA (CPAP_LNC004773)
Source: RNAcentral